This 74-nucleotide transfer RNA is filed under the name Paenibacillus urinalis. RNAcentral's name for it is "tRNA-Met". It matches the Rfam family "tRNA". Rfam says of the family: Transfer RNA (tRNA) molecules are approximately 80 nucleotides in length. Their secondary structure includes four short double-helical elements and three loops (D, anti-codon, and T loops). Lineage: Bacteria; Bacillati; Bacillota; Bacilli; Caryophanales; Paenibacillaceae. RNAcentral also lists the same sequence under 1 other name. The record is from RNAcentral.
CGCGGGGUGGAGCAGCUCGGUAGCUCGUUGGGCUCAUAACCCGAAGGUCGCAGGUUCAAAUCCUGCCCCCGCAA